GCCAGGCGCAGCAGGGGAGCCCUCCGCGCCGCGCGCCGCCGCCUCCCCUACCCUGCCGCAGCGCGCCGCAGUCCGGCCUCCCCGCCCCGCGCGGGGAAGGCUGGCUGGCGGCCUCGUCACGUGUCCUCGGCGAUCGCCCAACAGUUCCGGUGGUGAGGAGUCCUUUCCAAAUAUCAGAGGAAUAAAGAAGUCACUUCCCCAGCUGUCAUCAUCUGCCUACACACUGAGCAAGAAUAUUUCAAGCACAACAGAAAAGACAGUCCUUCAAACCCUAGAAGAUGACCAGCCAUCUGAUUUUUUCAAGAAAGGGAAUAGGGUGAUGAAAUCUCACCAGAAAAGCAGGUAAGUGAUUUUAAUUGCUUUAU
Long non-coding RNA from Ursus americanus (American black bear), 365 nucleotides. NCBI's taxonomy places the organism in Eukaryota, Metazoa, Chordata, Mammalia, Carnivora, Ursidae. The record is from Ensembl.